UACGGAGGAUGCGAGCGUUAUCCGGAUUUAUUGGGUUUAAAGGGUGCGUAGGCGGCUUUUUAAGUCAGCGGUGAAAUUUUGCAGCUUAACUGUAACAGUGCCGUUGAUACUGGGGAGCUAGGAUUUGGUUGCUGUGGGUGGAAUGUGUGGUGUAGCGGUGAAAUGCUUAGAGAUCACACAGAAUAUCGAUUGCGAAGGCAGCUCACAAAGCCAAGAUUGACGCUGAGGCACUAAAGUGUGGGGAUCAAACAGGAUUA
This 257-nucleotide ribosomal RNA is filed under the name uncultured prokaryote. Its description in RNAcentral is "partial 16S ribosomal RNA". It matches the Rfam family "Bacterial small subunit ribosomal RNA", at positions 524 to 780 of the family's 1533-position model. The record is from RNAcentral.